Non-coding RNA from Vicia faba (fava bean), 282 nucleotides. The record is from the annotation of a GenBank genome assembly. Lineage: Eukaryota; Viridiplantae; Streptophyta; Magnoliopsida; Fabales; Fabaceae.
AUGUGGCGUAAUGAGGAGGCACAUUGUGAAGGUUAUCUCAGACCGUUCAAUCCUGAUGCUCAUAUUGGGAAACAAGUUUUGGAAAAUGCGGAGGCGACAAUUAUGAAUAAGGUGGUCAUAGAGAAAGCUAGAAUGGUCCAACGGAUUUCGUGGUGUCCUCCUCAUAGGGGUUGGAUGAAGCUAAAUAUGGAUGAAGCUUGCAAGAAUGGUUUGAGCUCAGGAUGUCAGGGGUUAUUAGGGAUGAUAAAGGGUCAAUGUGCCUUGGUUUUGCAAAGUGUCUAG